This 465-nucleotide ribosomal RNA is filed under the name uncultured bacterium. Its description in RNAcentral is "partial 16S ribosomal RNA". It matches the Rfam family "Bacterial small subunit ribosomal RNA", at positions 28 to 507 of the family's 1533-position model. The record is from RNAcentral.
GACGAACGCUGGCGGCGUGCUUAACACAUGCAAGUCGAACGGAAAGGCCCUGCUUGCAGGGUACUCGAGUGGCGAACGGGUGAGUAACACGUGGGUGAUCUGCCCUGCACUUCGGGAUAAGCCUGGGAAACUGGGUCUAAUACCGGAUAGGAGCCAUUUUUAGUGUGAUGGUUGGAAAGUUUUUUCGGUGUAGGAUGAGCUCGCGGCCUAUCAGCUUGUUGGUGGGGUAAUGGCCUACCAAGGCGGCGACGGGUAGCCGGCCUGAGAGGGUGGACGGCCACAUUGGGACUGAGAUACGGCCCAGACACCUACGGGAGGCAGCAGGGGGGAAUAUUGCACAAUGGGCGCAAGCCGGAUGCAGCGACGCCGCGUGGGGGAUGACGGCCUUCGGGUUGUAAACUCCUUUCGCUAGGGACGAAGCUUUUUGUGACGGUACCUAGAUAAGAAGCACCGGCUAACUACGUG